RNAcentral lists this ribosomal RNA (253 nucleotides) under uncultured bacterium. RNAcentral describes it as "partial 16S ribosomal RNA". It matches the Rfam family "Bacterial small subunit ribosomal RNA", at positions 524 to 776 of the family's 1533-position model. The record is from RNAcentral.
UACGAAGGGGGCUAGCGUUGUUCGGAAUUACUGGGCGUAAAGCGCACGUAGGCGGACUGUUAAGUCAGGGGUGAAAUCCUGGAGCUCAACUCCAGAACUGCCUUUGAUACUGAUGGUCUCGAGUCCGGAAGAGGUGAGUGGAAUUCCGAGUGUAGAGGUGAAAUUCGUAGAUAUUCGCAAGAACACCAGUGGCGAAGGCGGCUCACUGGCCCGGUACUGACGCUGAGGUGCGAAAGCGUGGGGAGCAAACAGG